UCUCCCUCCAUCAAAAGUCCUCCAUAGCCUUUGCUAGACCACGUUUCAUGUGACCUUUAGCUUUCUCCAACACUUCUUUACCUCGUUCCAACUUCCCCUCAAACUAUUGGAAAAGUAUUUGAUUUCCGGCUCAACUCUCCAUCCCUUUUCCUUCUGUGACCAUCAUCUUUGUGCCGCCAUGUAUCGGAGGGAAGACUGAAGAGUCGAUAGUGG
Molecule: long non-coding RNA, 213 nt
Filed under: Phoenix dactylifera (date palm)
Lineage: Eukaryota; Viridiplantae; Streptophyta; Magnoliopsida; Arecales; Arecaceae
Description: long non-coding RNA (PDAC_LNC002608)
Source: RNAcentral